AACCUGCGGAGGGAUCAUUACUGAGUGAGGGCUCACGCCCGACCUCCAACCCUUUGUGAACACAUCUUGUUGCUUCGGGGGCGACCCUGCCGGCACUACGUCGCCGGGCGCCCCCGAAGGUCUCCAAACACUGCAUCUUUGCGUCGGAGUUUAAACAAAUUAAACAAAACUUUCAACAACGGAUCUCUUGGUUCUGGCAUCGAUGAAGAACGCAGCGAAAUGCGAUAAGUAAUGUGAAUUGCAGAAUUCAGUGAAUCAUCGAAUCUUUGAACGCACAUUGCGCCCUUUGGUAUUCCGAAGGGCAUGCCUGUUCGAGCGUCAUUUCACCACUCAAGCCUGGCUUGGUAUUGGGCGUCGCGGCUCCGCGCGCCUUAAAGUCUCCGGCUGAGCCAUUCGUCUCUAAGCGUUGUGGAUUUUCUAAUUCGCUUCGGAGUGCGGGUGGCCGCGGCCGUUAAAUCUUUACUCAAGGUUGACCUCGGAUCAGGUAGGGAUA
Molecule: ribosomal RNA, 493 nt
Filed under: Pseudocercospora lythri
Lineage: Eukaryota; Fungi; Ascomycota; Dothideomycetes; Mycosphaerellales; Mycosphaerellaceae
Description: eukaryotic LSU rRNA
Rfam family: 5.8S ribosomal RNA (bases 168-321)
Source: RNAcentral